UACAGGGGGUGCAAGCGUUGUUCGGAAUUACUGGGCGUAAAGGGUGAGUAGGCGGCUUUGUAAGUCAGGUGUGAAAUCCCGGAGCUUAACUCCGGAACUGCAUCUGAAACUACAAGGCUAGAGUGAGGUAGAGGCAAGCGGAAUUCUCAGUGUAGAGGUGAAAUUCGUAGAUAUUGAGAGGAACACCAGUGGCGAAGGCGGCUUGCUGGGCCUUUUCUGACGCUGAGGCACGAAAGCGUGGGGAUCAAACAGG
This 253-nucleotide ribosomal RNA is filed under the name uncultured bacterium. Its description in RNAcentral is "partial 16S ribosomal RNA". It matches the Rfam family "Bacterial small subunit ribosomal RNA", at positions 524 to 776 of the family's 1533-position model. The record is from RNAcentral.